CACGUGCCACAUGAUGAAGUCAAUGCCGGAAAAUGUGGUCAAUGUCCAAUUUCCGACCUAAGGUCCUAGUCAACAAAAAAAGGUUCAUUAAGGUCUCAAAUGUUCACUUUUCUAUAAAAGGUCAUUUCUCACAAAGUCUACCUUAUAAAAUGUCCUUUAUGACAAACCUCCUAAUUAUUAUUCUUAUUAUUAUUUUUAUUUUAGCUCAGUUAAUUUAAUUUAAUUUCAAUUCAAUUAAUUUAAUUAAAUUAAUUUCAGUUCAAGAACAUUUAAUGAACUAAUUUCAAUUCCAUUAAUUUCAGUCCAAAAGAAAAUGAACUAAGUAACCCCCGACACUAGCCGUUUUAGGGCGAGUUUAUCCCCAGUUUUGAGGGAGUCUGGAAGAAAGUCUGGAGCCAGACUCUUGGGAUGAUGUGGUAAAUGACUACAACAGGUCUAAAGCGAUCAAGUUUAAAAAUUCAAGACUCAUUUAAGACUCUAGCUACCUUUUCUCCAACCAAAUCAAAUUAUCUUAUUUAGAAGUUUAGUUGAGUUUGAGGCGAGUCUGGAGGAUAAUGUAUAAUUAAAAUAGGGAGAGUCUUGUGUGAGUUUGAAUAAUGAAAAAAGUAGGUAAAAAUUAGUGAAAAGCUAAUAUGGAAGAGUCAAAGGAUUGAGGUUGAGUUUGAAGGAUAAACACAUUCUUACCAACAACCACCCAACCCAACCACAGGUAGGGGUGAGCAAAACCGGAUCCGAUCUGGUUUUGUAAACUUGAGAUACCCGAUUUUUAGGAUCACAAAAAUAAUUAUUUAUUGUAUCCAACUCGGUUUAAGUGGAUAUCCGACUUUUGGAUACUUGGUUUAACCGAUCAAAAGUUCGGAUCCGAAUCUGAUUUAUGCAAAAUUAAUUUUUAAUACCUUGCAAAUAAGCCAUUUAAUUAUUUUUUCCCUAAUAAUCGUCAUAAGUUCGUUGUAAAUUAACUAUACUUAUAGUAUCCAAAAUCAUGUACACGAUAAUUGUAAGUUUAAUUACCUUAGAGCAUCUUUAAGGUAAGCAAAUUGAUAAGUUGUUUUUAUUUGGCAUGUCCGAUUUUCAAGCUAAUAUUUUUUCAUGAGUAUUUUACUCAAAUGGUUAGCAAGUUGCUUGAAAUUUUUUAACCAUUUUUUAAAUUUAUUUUUAUGAUUCAAUUCACAACUUUAUCAAAUAAACAAAAAAUUUCCCGUUGUUUUUUUCCCAAGCUAAUUAGCUUUGUAGAGCUAAUUUGCUUAACUUGGCUAAUUGCUCAUAUGUACUCCAAUGGUUGACUAGUAGUUAGAAAUUUUAUGAAAAUUGCAAGCUAGUCCCUACAUGUAACCAUUGGAGAUGCUCUUAGCAUGCAAGAGUUUUUUUUUUCAUAGAGUUUAUUUUUCUUUGGUACUCCUAUUUCAACAUUUAUUAAUCGCAAAUAAUAUAACACGUAGUGUUUUAGUAUUUAACUAUUUUCUUAUAGACUUAUAUUUUUGUUUUUUAUUUCAUACGGAGUACGUAACUUUCUAUUUUUUUUGAUAACGAGUACGUAACUUUAUAUGUUGUUAUUUAAGACUCCAAACUUUAAUUUUUUUUAUAACAUUGCAAAUUUCAAAUUGGACCCGGAUAUACAAAUUUUAAAAAUCGUGAUCCAUAUCCGAUCCAAUUUUUUCUCAAAAAUCCGAAAUUAGGUAUCUAAUCCGAUCCACAUAUCCAAAAAUUCUGAUAUUUCACCCGGAUAGAGAUAAAAAAUAUGAAUAUCCAUUAAUUCCUCAGUUAAUUAAUUUUGGGGACCAGCUGUCUGAACGAAAACGUAUAAAUUAGGCUAAGCGCCCUCAAAUCCUUCACCUGUACAUCUCUCUAUUUUUCUCUAUCGCGCGCACACACAUUUCUUCUGCUUCGCUACCAUUGUCGCUAUCUUGCUCCCUCAAAGUCUCAGUCAGACUCAACAAUGGAGGAGGAGGUCGACGAAACUGAAUUUCAAUCUCAGGUCUACAUGGCAUUUGUCAUGCAUGGUCACAGAGUUGGAAUUUCCUAUUAUGAUUCUAGUAUUCGACAACUUAGUGUUCUAGAAGUUUGGGAGGAUGGUGCAGAUUAUCCACUGAUUGAUCUGGUGAAAUAUCAGGCACAACCUUUAAUUAUCUACACCAGCACCAAAAUCGAAGAAUCGUUCUUAUUAGCUUUACAGAGAAAUGAUGGAAUAAACUUCACUCCCACAGUGAAACUUAUGAAAAGUACAAUAUUUAGCUAUGAACAAGCUUGGAAUAGAUUGAUAUAUCUCAGAGUUUCGGGAAUGGAUGACGGAUUAAGUGUCAAAGAGAGAAUUACUUUUCUUAGUUCUAUGAUGGAUAUUGCAAGUGAGGUUCAAGUUCGUGCUAGUGGGGGCCUUCUUGCAAUAUUAGAGAAUGAAAGGAUUGUAGAUACCCUUGAACCAAAGGAGUAUGGCGAUGCGUCGAUUGCUAUUGAUUGUCUAACGGAGGUUUCACUAAAUAAUUUUCUUAAACUUGACGCAGCAGCUCAUGAAGCAUUACAAAUUUUCCAAAUAGACAAACAUCCAAGCCAUAUGGGUAUUGGUCGAGCAAAAGAAGGGUUCUCUGUUUUCGGAAUGAUGAAUAAGUGUGUUUCACCAAUGGGUCGACGUCUCCUGAGAAACUGGUUCCUCCGACCCAUACUCGACGCUGAAAUUUUAAACAGUCGACUUGAUGCUAUAUCUUUUUUCUUAUGUUCGGAAGAGCUUAUGGUAUCUAUACGAGGAACACUUAAAUCCAUAAAAGAUGUACCCUACAUACUGAAGAAAUUCAAUUCCCCAAGCUCUGUAAGCACAACCAGUGACUGGGCAGCUUUUCUGAAGAGCCUUUCUUCCCUCCUCCACCUGAACAAGAUAUUUGAAGUUGGCAUUUCUGAAAAUUUAAGGGGACAGGCCAAUCAUUUUUGUCUGGAUAUUGUUGACAAGGCAGCUUCAUGCAUUACAACAGAGCUCUCUUAUAUCUAUGAACUGGUUAUUGGCAUCAUCGAUGUUACUAGAGAAAAAGAGAGAGGUUAUGGGACAAUUGUCAAAGAGGGUUUUUGUGAAGAGCUGGAUGAGUUGAGACAAAUAUACGAGGAGCUGCCAGAACUUCUGGAAGAGGUGUCGAGUCUCGAGCUUGCACGACUACCUAAUUUGCAUCACGGCGAGUGUGUUCCUUGUAUUGUUUACAUACACCAAAUAGGAUACUUGCUGUGCAAAUUUGAAGAAAAACUUGAUGAAUGCACACUACAGAAUCUUGAAGAUCUUGAAUUUGCUUUUUCUGAUGGUGAAAAUGAGCCAAAAAGGUUCUUCUAUCGUACCUCAAAGACACGGGAGUUGGACAACCUUCUUGGGGACAUAUAUCACAAAAUUCUGGACAUGGAGAGGGUGAUUACAAGGGACCUGAUAUCACAUGUUCUCUUAUUCUCAACGCAUUUGCUAAAAGCUAUGAACUUUGCAGCAGAGCUUGACUGCCUUUUGUCUUUGGCAUUGGUUGCUCAACAAAACAACUACGUAAGGCCCAAUUUGACUACUGAUGCCAUACUGGAUAUACAAAAUGGAAGACAUGUUUUGCAGGAAAUGACAGUGGAUACAUUUAUUCCAAAUGACACUAAAAUACUUGAUGAAGGAAAAAUUAAUAUCAUAACUGGACCUAACUAUUCUGGGAAAAGCAUCUAUAUAAAACAGGUAGCUUUGAUUGUUUUCCUCUCUCACAUUGGCAGUUUUGUACCUGCGGAUGCUGCUGUGGUAGGAUUAACUGACAGGAUAUUUUGUGCAAUGGGAAGCAAACUCAUGGCUGCCGAACAGUCUACAUUUAUGAUUGAUCUACAGCAAGUGGGCAUGAUGUUGAGGCAAGCUACAUCACGGUCUUUAUGCCUCUUGGAUGAAUUCGGUAAAGGCACACUAACAGAAGAUGGCAUUGGUCUGCUUGGUGGAACUGUGAACUAUUUUGCUGGUAAUGAUAAUACUCCAAAGGUUUUUGUUUGCACUCAUUUGACUGAAAUUUUUCACGAGAACUUGCUGCCAAAGUCUGAGAAAAUAAACUUCUACACCAUGAGUGUGCUGAGACCUGAGGAAAGCAGUAUGCCUGCGGAAGACAUUGUUUUUCUGUAUAGUGAGAAGAUUGAAAGCUUUAUCUCUGUAUAGCAUGAUGUGUGAACUAAUUGUUUCCUGAAUAUGCAAAACAGAUUAGUUCCAGGACAAGCACACUUGAGUUACGGGCUACAUUGUGCAAUGCUUGCUGGU
This is an RNA transcript of Spinacia oleracea (spinach), 4237 nucleotides long. It is a transcript of the gene named DNA mismatch repair protein MSH5, with no coding region annotated. The transcript has 32 exons. The record is from RefSeq and is a predicted model, not a curated record. Lineage: Eukaryota; Viridiplantae; Streptophyta; Magnoliopsida; Caryophyllales; Amaranthaceae.